CGGACGGGUGAGUAAUGUCUGGGAAACUGCCCGAUGGAGGGGGAUAACUACUGGAAGCGGUAGCUAAUACCGCAUAACGUCGCAAGACCAAAGAGGGGGACCUUAGGGCCUCUUGCCAUCGGAUGUGCCCAGAUGGGAUUAGCUAGUAGGUGGGGUAAUGGCUCACCUAGGCGACGAUCCCUAGCUGGUUUGAGAGGAUGACCAGCCACACUGGAACUGAGACACGGUCCAG
RNAcentral lists this ribosomal RNA (232 nucleotides) under uncultured bacterium. Its description in RNAcentral is "partial 16S ribosomal RNA". It matches the Rfam family "Bacterial small subunit ribosomal RNA", at positions 99 to 334 of the family's 1533-position model. The record is from RNAcentral.